UGCCAAAAGACUAAUUUCCUUAGCAUUAACCAGCAGCCUCAGCUCCAAAUCUAAAUGCAAGAAGCGGAGGAUUCCUCCUCUGCCCUCAGGUUACAGGGCACCUGCUUCAGCCACACUGCAGACGAGAAGCAAGUCAGCCAGCUGCAGUGAGACUGAACUGUGGCCUGGCUGACUUUCACACCCAACACCAAUACAGUCACAUGACCUGCAGGUUGACUUUCACACCCAACACCAAUACAGUCACAUGACCUUCAGGCUGAUUUUCACACCCAACACCAAUACAGUCACAUGACCCGCAGGCUGAUUUUCACACCCAACACCAAUACAGUCACAUGACCCAAGAGAGCAUCAGACCUAUCAGCAGGGCUCAGUUUAAUCCCAUGCACGUGCUGGCUUUGAUGAUCAACAAUACCGCCAGCACCCGGCGAAGAGGAACAUUUAAAACAAUAAACCUCAAUUGGAGUCCUUGAGGAAAAGCAAACAUUCAGUCUUGUGGAUUAAAAACAAUUUUAUGGGUUGGACACACGAGAUUGUGGGCUUUCGACAAAACCCGUCAUAGGUGAAAGCAGUCAGCCAUGAAUUACUACUGAAAGCGUGCAUAAUUAAAGCAGCAUUCAACCCCACGCGCAGGCAAAACCAUCUUGAUUUUAAAAUCAAUAUGAAAAAUACAGGCAAAGACCUAGUGAGGGGAAAAGAACAGCACUGCAAUGCACCAUAACAGAGCACUUCAGACUAACAGGAAAAACACUGAAAAUGUUCAUCUCCAAAACAAGCCAACAGUUUCAUUGGAUCCCUCUGAAAGAACUUGAGUAUUAAUGUUCAGGAGAAAACACCAGGAGUAGGUAUUCUAUGAAAGACUGCACAGCCAACUGCAGAACAGACAGGUGUUUUAAAAGUGAAUCUCAAAUGCACUGCUACAUCAGUCUGAAUCAGUCAGGGGCUGGAGACAACCCACAUUAAGAGAGGGGGCUGGAGACGGCCUAACUCUAACACACGCUGGGCUCAAGGGGCCUAAUGUGCCACAUUAAUGUCAUUUUUUAAAGACACGGCGGGACAGUUAGCGGCUGACCACAGACAGCAGCUCCUGCUCUAGCUGCACCUGGAGCAGGGGAGCCACAACCUCACUGGACUUGCAUACCUCUUACGCUGCUACCUGAUCACACAGAGAACAGGAGCCCAAUGCUGAUCAUACACAGAACUGGAGCCUAACGCUGAUCACACAGAACUGGAGCCCAACGCUGAUCAUACAGAGAACUGGAGCCCAACGCUGAUCAUACAGAGAACUGGAGCCUAACGCUGAUCACACAGAACUGGAGCCCAACGCUGAUCACACAGAACUGGAGCCCAACGCUGAUCAUACAGAGAACUGGAGCCCAACGCUGAUCAUACAGAGAACUAGAGCCUAACACUGAUCACACAGAACUGGAGCCCAACGCUGAUCAUACAGAGAACUGGAG
Long non-coding RNA from Anguilla rostrata (American eel), 1457 nucleotides. RefSeq lists it as uncharacterized. The transcript has 2 exons. NCBI's taxonomy places the organism in Eukaryota, Metazoa, Chordata, Actinopteri, Anguilliformes, Anguillidae. The record is from RefSeq and is a predicted model, not a curated record.